GAGAUAGACCUAAUGAUGGUUAUUAGACCUAUACUGUAGAUAUAGCGCCCUUUGGCUGCGACUGUUCGAUUCAGUCCUAUCUCA
This 84-nucleotide transfer RNA is filed under the name Candida gigantensis. Its description in RNAcentral is "tRNA-Tyr". Lineage: Eukaryota; Fungi; Ascomycota; Pichiomycetes; Serinales; Debaryomycetaceae. The record is from RNAcentral.